This 840-nucleotide ribosomal RNA is filed under the name Xanthoparmelia stenophylla. RNAcentral describes it as "eukaryotic LSU rRNA". It matches the Rfam family "Eukaryotic large subunit ribosomal RNA", at positions 81 to 936 of the family's 3401-position model. The record is from RNAcentral. Lineage: Eukaryota; Fungi; Ascomycota; Lecanoromycetes; Lecanorales; Parmeliaceae.
CAGUAACGGCGAGUGAAGCGGCAACAGCUCAAAUUUGAAAUCUGGCUCCUUCGGGGUCCGAAUUGUAAUUUGUAGAGAGUGCUUCGGGCGAGACCUCGGUCUAAGUCCAUUGGAACAUGGUGUCAUAGAGGGUGAGAAUCCCGUAUGCGACCGUGGCUCGAGCCCAUGUGAAGCCUCUUCGACGAGUCGAGUUGUUUGGGAAUGCAGCUCAAAAUGGGUGGUAAAUUUCAUCUAAAGCUAAAUACUGGCUGGAGACCGAUAGCGCACAAGUAGAGUGAUCGAAAGAUGAAAAGCACUUUGGAAAGAGAGUCAAACAGUACGUGAAAUUGUUGAAAGGGAAGCGCUUGCAACCAGACCUGCCCGUAGGCGAUCAGCCGCUGUUCUCAGCGGUGUAUUCGCUCUGCGAUCAGGCCAGCAUCGGUUUCGGCGGUCGGAUAAAGGCCUUGGGAAUGUAGCUUCCCUUCGGGGGAGUCUUAUAGCCCUCGGUGUAAUGCGGCCAGCUGGGACCGAGGACCGCGCUUCGGCUAGGAUGCUGGCGUAAUGGUUGUAAGCGACCCGUCUUGAAACACGGACCAAGGAGUCUAACAUCUAUGCGAGUGUUUGGGUGUCAAACCCAUGCGCGGAAUGAAAGUGAACGGAGGUGAGAACCCUUAAGGGCGCAUCAUCGACCGAUCCAGAUGUCUUCGGAUGGAUUUGAGUAUGAGCAUAGCUGUUGGGACCCGAAAGAUGGUGAACUAUGCCUGAAUAGGGUGAAGCCAGAGGAAACUCUGGUGGAGGCUCGCAGCGGUUCUGACGUGCAAAUCGAUCGUCAAAUUUGGGUAUAGGGGCGAAAGACUAAUC